This 649-nucleotide ribosomal RNA is filed under the name uncultured beta proteobacterium. RNAcentral describes it as "bacterial SSU rRNA". It matches the Rfam family "Bacterial small subunit ribosomal RNA", at positions 8 to 652 of the family's 1533-position model. The record is from RNAcentral. Lineage: Bacteria; Pseudomonadati; Pseudomonadota; Betaproteobacteria.
AGAGUUGUAUCCUGGCUCAGAUUGAACGCUGGCGGCAUGCCUUACACAUGCAAGUCGAACGGCAGCACGGGAGCAAUCCUGGUGGCGAGUGGCGAACGGGUGAGUAAUAUAUCGGAACGUGCCCAGUCGUGGGGGAUAACGUAGCGAAAGCUACGCUAAUACCGCAUACGAUCUAUGGAUGAAAGCGGGGGAUCGCAAGACCUCGCGCGAUUGGAGCGGCCGAUAUCAGAUUAGGUAGUUGGUGAGGUAAAGGCUCACCAAGCCGACGAUCUGUAGCUGGUCUGAGAGGACGACCAGCCACACUGGGACUGAGACACGGCCCAGACUCCUACGGGAGGCAGCAGUGGGGAAUUUUGGACAAUGGGCGCAAGCCUGAUCCAGCAAUGCCGCGUGCAGGAUGAAGGCCUUCGGGUUGUAAACUGCUUUUGUACGGAACGAAACGGCGAGCUCUAAUACAGCUUGCUAAUGACGGUACCGUAAGAAUAAGCACCGGCUAACUACGUGCCAGCAGCCGCGGUAAUACGUAGGGUGCGAGCGUUAAUCGGAAUUACUGGGCGUAAAGCGUGCGCAGGCGGUGAUGUAAGACAGAUGUGAAAUCCCCGGGCUCAACCUGGGACCUGCAUUUGUGACUGCAUCGCUAGAGUACGGU